Molecule: ribosomal RNA, 532 nt
Filed under: uncultured bacterium
Lineage: Bacteria
Description: bacterial SSU rRNA
Rfam family: Bacterial small subunit ribosomal RNA
Source: RNAcentral
AGAGUUUGAUCAUGGCUCAGGACGAACGCUGGCGGCGUGCUUAACACAUGCAAGUGGUGCGACGAACCAGGGCUUGCCCUGGGGCAAAGCCGCGAACGGGUGAGUAACACGUGAGUAACCUGCCCCGAUGACCGGGACAACCCGAGGAAACUCGGGCUAAUACCGGAUGUGGUACACGGACUUAAGCCUGUGUACUAAAGGAAGCUUCGGCCUCCGCAUUGGGAGGGGCUCGCGGCCCAUUAGCUUGUUGGUGGGGUAACGGCCUACCAAGGCAACGAUGGGUAGCUGGUCUGAGAGGACGAUCAGCCACACUGGGACUGAGACACGGCCCAGACUCCUACGGGAGGCAGCAGUGGGGAAUCUUGCGCAAUGCGCGAAAGCGUGACGCAGCAACGCCGCGUGGGGGAAGACGGCCUUCGGGUUGUAAACCCCUUUCAGGAGGGACGAAGGUUCGCCGGUGAAUAGCCGUGUGGAUUGACGGUACCUCCAGAAGAAGCUCCGGCUAACUACGUGCCAGCAGCCGCGGUAAUAC